UACGUAGGGGGCAAGCGUUGUUCGGAAUCACUGGGCGUAAAGGGAGCGUAGGCGGAUCGGUAAGUUAGGAGUGAAAUCUACAGGCUUAACCUGUAGAUUGCUUUUAAUACUGCCUUUCUUGAGUAUGGGAGAGGAUGAUGGAAUUCCAGGUGUAGCGGUGGAAUGCGUAGAUAUCUGGAAGAACACCAGUUGCGAAGGCGGUCAUCUGGCCCAAUACUGACGCUGAGGCUCGAAAGCUAGGGGAG
Molecule: ribosomal RNA, 245 nt
Filed under: uncultured bacterium
Lineage: Bacteria
Description: partial 16S ribosomal RNA
Rfam family: Bacterial small subunit ribosomal RNA
Source: RNAcentral